GCCUGCAUGAAGUUGGAAUCGCUAGUAAUCGCGGAUCAGCAUGCCGCGGUGAAUACGUUCCCGGGCCUUGUACACACCGCCCGUCACACCAUGAGAGUCGGGAACACCCGAAGUCCGUAGCCUAACCGCAAGGGGGCGCGGCCGAAGGUGGGUUCGAUAAUUGGGGUGAAGUCGUAACAAGGUAUC
RNAcentral lists this ribosomal RNA (186 nucleotides) under uncultured bacterium. RNAcentral describes it as "partial 16S ribosomal RNA". It matches the Rfam family "Bacterial small subunit ribosomal RNA", at positions 1314 to 1500 of the family's 1533-position model. The record is from RNAcentral.